This 433-nucleotide long non-coding RNA is filed under the name Calidris pygmaea (Spoon-billed sandpiper). RNAcentral describes it as "lncRNA (ENSCPGG00000002245.1)". Lineage: Eukaryota; Metazoa; Chordata; Aves; Charadriiformes; Scolopacidae. The record is from RNAcentral.
AUGCACCGAGCUGCGGGGAGUGUCCUGGGUUUCCAGCACUCCCAGUUUAAGCAAAACAGUAAUUACCAGUCCUGUGGGCUCCAUGAAGCGGCAGGAGUAGCUGUCAGCCGGGCGCAACGCUGUCAUGCCUUGUCCAGGGCUGGGGGAAAGGGACGUGGAACUCCUCCUCUGCCUCUCCGUCUCCGCUCGGAUGCCCAGAGUACUUUAGGCUUCAGUCAGUCUUCCCCUGCAUUUCUUCUUGGUCAAGUCUUGGACCAGCAGGUUAGCCCAGAUGAGGUCCCACUUCCAAGGUCUUGGCCAUCUGAGAGAAUGCUGUGGUUCCAGUCCUGUUUAAUGUCAUGCUGAAGAGUCUGCCUGAGGCCAAGCUGGUCAGGAGAGGGCUUUGGAGAGAUUGAUUUCUUCGGAAUAAAUGAAGAAAGUAACUAUGAAAGCA